UGGGGAAUUUUGGACAAUGGGCGAAAGCCUGAUCCAGCAAUGCCGCGUGUGUGAAGAAGGCCUUCGGGUUGUAAAGCACUUUUGUCCGGAAAGAAAUCCUUGGCUCUAAUACAGUCGGGGGAUGACGGUACCGGAAGAAUAAGCACCGGCUAACUACGUGCCAGCAGCCGCGGUAAUACGUAGGGUGCAAGCGUUAAUCGGAAUUACUGGGCGUAAAGCGUGCGCAGGCGGUUUGCUAAGACCGAUGUGAAAUCCCCGGGCUCAACCUGGGAACUGCAUUGGUGACUGGCAGGCUAGAGUAUGGCAGAGGGGGGUAGAAUUCCACGUGUAGCAGUGAAAUGCGUAGAGAUGUGAGAAUACCGAUGGCGAAGGCAGCCCCCUGGGCCAAUACUGACGCUCAUGCACGAAAAGCGUGGGGAGCAAACAGGAUUAGAUACCCUGGUAGUCCACGCCCUAAACGAUGUCAACUAGUUGUUGGGGGAUUUCAUUUCCUUAGUAACGUAGCUAACGCGUGAAGUUGACCGCCUGGGGAGUACGGUCGCAAGAUUAAAACUUAAAGGAAUUGACGGGGUCAUAGCUGUUUCCU
Molecule: ribosomal RNA, 586 nt
Filed under: uncultured bacterium
Lineage: Bacteria
Description: partial 16S ribosomal RNA
Rfam family: Bacterial small subunit ribosomal RNA
Source: RNAcentral